This 429-nucleotide ribosomal RNA is filed under the name Chloroflexota bacterium. RNAcentral describes it as "Chloroflexi bacterium partial 16S ribosomal RNA". It matches the Rfam family "Bacterial small subunit ribosomal RNA", at positions 355 to 776 of the family's 1533-position model. Lineage: Bacteria; Bacillati; Chloroflexota. The record is from RNAcentral.
UGGGGAAUAUUGCACAAUGGGCGCAAGCCUGAUGCAGCCAUGCCGCGUGUAUGAAGAAGGCCUUCGGGUUGUAAAGUACUUUCAGCGGGGAGGAAGGGAGUAAAGUUAAUACCUUUGCUCAUUGACGUUACCCGCAGAAGAAGCACCGGCUAACUCCGUGCCAGCAGCCGCGGUAAUACGGAGGGUGCAAGCGUUAAUCGGAAUUACUGGGCGUAAAGCGCACGCAGGCGGUUUGUUAAGUCAGAUGUGAAAUCCCCGGGCUCAAACUGGGAACUGCAUCUGAUACUGGCAAGCUUGAGUCUCGUAGAGGGGGGUAGAAUUCCAGGUGUAGCGGUGAAAUGCGUAGAGAUCUGGAGGAAUACCGGUGGCGAAGGCGGCCCCCUGGGCGAAGACUGACGCUCAGGUGCGAAAGCGUGGGGAGCAAACAGG